Molecule: long non-coding RNA, 228 nt
Filed under: Elaeis guineensis (African oil palm)
Lineage: Eukaryota; Viridiplantae; Streptophyta; Magnoliopsida; Arecales; Arecaceae
Description: long non-coding RNA (EGUI_LNC050774)
Source: RNAcentral
GAUUCUACUCUAACUUAUCAAGGAUUGUCAAUCCUGAGCAAUCCUAGUGAGCUCUCAUAAUUCAUUAGUGACAUCUAGUAGUAUGUAAUGACAACCCAAUAGAAUCGAAAAAAAAUCUCAAGGUAUAGUUCACAUGUGAUUCAGUCUCCCGAUCGUGAGUCCUGAUUAGAUGGCAGGUCAUGGAUAAAUCAUCAAACCUCAUCAUUAGUCAUAUGAUUAUUUGAUUAG